UUCUCUUGAGUCUUCUCAUACACGGUCACUGUCCUUGUCCCUUGUCGUCGUCCACCAUUGCUCCUCACCACUGGGUCCUUUUUCACCCCUGGUGCGACCUCAUCUCACUUGAGUCUAAGUCUAGUCUCUCAGAAAUCUCAUUGCCCCUGCCCCUUUGUCGUCGGCCACCAUUGCUUCUCGCUGUGGACUCCUUCUCCACCCCACGACAUGACCUCAUUUCAAGGAUUUCUAAGUUUCAAAACUCUUAACCCUAAGUACCUCACCCUCUGCUUGAGCCACCUUUUCCCAGCCCACUGUCUCUCGUUCUCUCUCUUCUCUCUCUUCUCUUACAGUGCGACCAUCCCUCCUACCCCUCUUCGUUCACCACCGAUUCACGGUACAACUUGGAAUGACACUUAGAGUUUGGUUCUUUUAUUGUUAACUUGUUGGAAAUUUGUAAUGGAAACAUUUAAUUUGGUUGGCACAAAAAAAUUGUUUUGUUGGUGUUAGGUUCUUUUGUUGUUGGAAUGAGAACUUAGAAAAUAUUGGUUGUUGCAGUUGGGAAAAAAUAACAUUAUGAUGGAUGAUGGGUUGGUUAGAUAAUUUGGGAGACUGGUUGUGUUUUAGCACAACUUGAAGCCCUAGAUAUUUGGUUUUGUUUGUUGUUGGAAUGAGAAUAUGUAAUUGGCUUUAAUUUGUGUUGUUGGUUAUAUAACUUAUAUUUUAGUUUUGGCUUGUA
Molecule: long non-coding RNA, 718 nt
Organism: Juglans microcarpa x Juglans regia
Lineage: Eukaryota; Viridiplantae; Streptophyta; Magnoliopsida; Fagales; Juglandaceae
Exons: 2
Source: RefSeq, a predicted model, not a curated record